GCUAGUUGUAUUAACUAUUAGUUAAUACAAGAUCGACUAUGUCGACUAAAGUUCUAGGUAGAAUAAUGAUGAUGACAAUUUUCUACCUAUAUGUCUUGACCAAAUCUCGUGCCAGCAGUCGCGGUAAUACGUGAAAGACUAGUGUUAUUCAUCUUAAAUAGGUUUAAAGGGUACCUAGACGGUUUAUCUAGCCCAAAACAGGGUACGGAUUUUCUAGAGUUUUAUGUGAGGAGGGGAGUACUCAUAGAGUAGAGAUGAAAUUUUGUGAUACUAUGAGGAAACUGGUGGCGGCGAAAGCAACCUUCUAUGUAUAAACUGACGUUGAGGGACGAAGGCUUGGGUAGCAAAUAGGAUUAGAUACCCUAGUAGUCCAAGCAGACAAUUCUGAAUGCCAUAGAUUAGAUUUUUUUGGUCUAUAAAUGAAAGUGUAAGCAUUCCACCUUAGGAGUAAUGUGGCAACACAGGAACUGAAAUCAUUAGACCGUUUCUGAAACCAGUAGUGAAGUAUGUUAUUUAAUUUGAUAGUCCUCAAAAAACCUUACCACAACUUGAAUGUUAUUUAAUUAAUACAAGCGUUGCACGGCUGUCUUCAGUUAAUGUCGUGAGAUUUUGGUUAACUCCCUUAAUUAACGUAAACCCAUACUUUAUUUUU
Molecule: ribosomal RNA, 652 nt
Filed under: Sarcogyne coeruleonigricans
Lineage: Eukaryota; Fungi; Ascomycota; Lecanoromycetes; Acarosporales; Acarosporaceae
Description: SSU rRNA
Rfam family: Bacterial small subunit ribosomal RNA
Source: RNAcentral